AACAGGAUUAGAUACCCUGGUAGUCCACGCCGUAAACGUUGGGCGCUAGGUGUGGGGCCUGUUUCCACGGGUUCCGUGCCGGAGCUAACGCAUUAAGCGCCCCGCCUGGGGAGUACGGCCGCAAGGCUAAAACUCAAAGGAAUUGACGGGGGCCCGCACAAGCGGCGGAGCAUGCGGCUUAAUUCGAUGCGACGCGAAGAACCUUACCAGGGCUUGACAUGCACGGUGCCGCCGUAGAGAUACGGCUUCCUUUGGGGUCGUGCACAGGUGGUGCAUGGUUGUCGUCAGCUCGUGUCGUGAGAUGUUGGGUUAAGUCCCGCAACGAGCGCAACCCUCGUCCUGUAUUGCCAGCAGCACCUUUGGGUGGCUGGGGACUUGCGGGAGACUGCCGGGGUCAACUCGGAGGAAGGUGGGGAUGACGUCAAAUCAUCAUGCCCCUUAUGUCCUGGGCUGCACGCAUGCUACAAUGGCCGGUACAGAGGGCUGCGAUGCCGUGAGGCGGAGCGAAUCCCGGAAAGCCGGUCUCAGUUCGGAUCGGGGUCUGCAACUCGACCCCGUGAAGUCGGAGUCGCUAGUAAUCGCAGAUCAGCAACGCUGCGGUGAAUACGUUCCCGGGCCUUGUACACACCGCCCGUCACGUCACGAAAGUCGGUAACACCCGAAGCCCGCGGCCUAGCCCCGUUUGGGGAGGGAGUGGUCGAAGGUGGGACUGGCGAUUGGGACGAAGUCGUAACAAGGUAACC
This 743-nucleotide ribosomal RNA is filed under the name uncultured bacterium. Its description in RNAcentral is "bacterial SSU rRNA". It matches the Rfam family "Bacterial small subunit ribosomal RNA", at positions 771 to 1501 of the family's 1533-position model. The record is from RNAcentral.